This 433-nucleotide ribosomal RNA is filed under the name uncultured bacterium. RNAcentral describes it as "partial 16S ribosomal RNA". It matches the Rfam family "Bacterial small subunit ribosomal RNA", at positions 29 to 507 of the family's 1533-position model. The record is from RNAcentral.
AACGAACGCUGGCGGCAUGCCUAACACAUGCAAGUCGAACGAGACCUUCGGUUCUAGUGGCGCACGGGUGCGUAACGCGUGGGAACCUGCCCUUAGGUUCGUAAUAACUCCCCGAAAGGGGUGCUAAUACCGGAUAAUGUCUUCGGACCAAAGGUUUAUCGCCUUUGGAUGGGCCCGCGUUGGAUUAGCUAGUUGGUAGGGUAAAAGCCUACCAAGGCGACGAUCCAUAGCUGGUCUGAGAGGAUGAUCAGCCACACUGGGACUGAGACACGGCCCAGACUCCUACGGGAGGGAGCAGUGGGGAAUAUUGGACAAUGGGCGAAAGGCUGAUCCAGCAAUGCCGGGUGAGUGAUGAAGGCCUUAGGGUUGUAAAGCUCUUUUACCCGGGAUGAUAAUGACAGUACCGGGAGAAUAAGCUCCGGCUAACUACGUG